CCUGUUAUCUAAUAAUCUCUGGAUGGUCAGAUACUCCAUGAUAUCUUGCAGGGUCUCUAACCAUCCCUACUGAAGAGAAUAGCAAAUUAGAGAAACUAGCUUCCAUCUCCAACUGUGGACACAGUGGCCAACGUUUAUUCAGUUUAUUUAAUUCACUGGUGCUAAGUAUAGGCUUAAGUAUGGCUUAAGUUUACUCUCAUGUAAACCGAGUUCUGGCCCUGCGUUGUGUGUGUCUGAAAAAAUCUGAAUUAUAACAUUUUAGGGAAAAUAAGAUUAUAACUUUGAGGAGUCAGCAUCUAGUUGAGGAAAUAAUUCAUACAAAAUCAAAGCUAAAGUCAGAUGAUAAAAGACAGGUAAGAGGCUACAUAUACACACAUGUACACAAAUGGAUACUCUAUAAAUGUUACUUGAAGCAUAUCUCUCAACUACUCACAACCCUUCAAUGAUGGCUUAACUUAUAUUCCAGCUAGUUGGCACAGACUCUAAUUCUUUUUUAAGAAAAAUUAAUACACACACAACCACAUUUUGUAACAUUGUUUCCACAAUGUGAGCAGUUUUUUCAUAGUGUUAAUCCCCUUUUCCCAAGGAAAAAUUAAAGCAAACAAGUUAGAAAUAAAACAAACAAAUCCUCUCUGUUUCUAAAGUUCAUUGCAGCUCUUGGGAA
RNAcentral lists this long non-coding RNA (664 nucleotides) under Bos taurus (domestic cattle). Its description in RNAcentral is "long non-coding RNA NONBTAT017453". The record is from RNAcentral. Lineage: Eukaryota; Metazoa; Chordata; Mammalia; Artiodactyla; Bovidae.